Henosepilachna vigintioctopunctata is the source of this 74-nucleotide non-coding RNA. The record is from the annotation of a GenBank genome assembly. Lineage: Eukaryota; Metazoa; Arthropoda; Insecta; Coleoptera; Coccinellidae.
GACCUCGGUAGCUAAGCGGUUCAAAGCAGUAUGGCGUAAACCUCAAGAACUGGGUUCAAAUCCCAGUCGAGUUU